UGUAACGUAUUCAAAGCAGAAUUUUAACAAGAAAGUCACACAAAAGUUUGCUGUGUCGUGCCGAAAUUAAAUAAAUUAGUAUAGCAAAAAGUACAGACUGUGUGUACAUUGCCAUCCAGUUGGCUUUGGCCAGCCUGCUAAGCCUUUGAAAAAAGUUACAGAAAAGUUACACCCUCAAAAAAGGAUUACGAAUGGCAAACUUGAGGAUUACCGUCACUCGGAUUCACUUUGAAUUCCGUUUCGUCUUAUUAUUUAUUGAUGAGUUGUUCAAAUCACCAACCACCCACAAUGACCUGACACGGCUAAAACCAUGCAACUAGUAUUGGACGUCAUGUUUUUUCAACCAUAAUUGGAUUUCAGUCUGCAGACAACGAAUGCGAGUCUCCGAAAAAAACGAACAGGAAACUCGCUCGGUGGAUUGUCUCAAGGUCGUGCAACGUGUGAAAAUAUGGUGGGAAGAGGGAAAACCCAAAAUGCAAAGUGACAGUUUUAUGGCCUGCUGCGUUCUUCGUGUCACAUUCGUGUUCUUAGUAUGCACGCGCUUCAGACAGUUUGUCACGAUGAACUCCGAAACGCUUCGUCGCCUGCUUGGAUAUUGUGUGCAUUAUAUGGAGGGUGAAAGUGACACCGGAAGCCUACUUUGAGUUAUUGAGUGAGGUGUUGUUGAUACUUUCCGGAAAAAAAAAUGCAAUUUUCACUUGUUAAGAUUAAAUUUGAAGUAGUUCAUUGAAAUUUGUUCAAAACACAUCCAUUUCCACUUGUGAAAUAUUCAUCGUCGACCUAAGCCAGAAUUGAUUUUCAAACUUUGUCCUGCUUGUUUGUUGAUUCUGUUGCCUCUCCUACGGCGAGCACCCAUCGAACGUUAUUCAACCCUGUGCUUCGGAGAAGAGCCAUGAGAUAUUCAUCAAACGAUGGAACUUUUGCCAACUAUCACAAACAUUCACCCGGGCGGCACACAAACUCACAAACUCACAUGAUAGGGCAUUUUAGCACAGGACGCUUUCGUAGCAUAAAGAAAAGAGUCCAUCCCUGCGGCUUUUCCAUGUCAACGCUGCUGGGGCAGUUCCCAGCGAGAGAGUUUCCACGUGAUAAUUAAUGCAGUUCUUGCCCUGCUGGCAGUCAACUAGUCGACCAAUUAGUAAAAUUGCUUCCAACCAUCCAGUCUCCUGAUGCGGUUUGGUAAAGUGCAAAGUAUCCAUAACUGACGAAUUACCCUAAUGGACCCGGAAGUUUUCCCAGUGAAAGAGCAGGGCCAACUUUGUUGACAUGGCACUUGUGUGCGCCUGUGAUCGCUGGCCAGCGUUGAUGAUGGAGAUAAAAGUAUUGGCAGCUAUCGGUUAAGUAUCAUGUGUUCUUAAAGUAUGGAAACCACCCACUGGAUAACGGGUAAUCGAGACCAAGGUUUAUAACCCAAUGGCAGAUACUCAUCAGGUCGUCAUCCAAACCGAACAGAGAAAUUGGACGUUCACAAUAGGAUCCGGAAAAAUAAAUCGAUAAAUUCCAUAAUAACGAUUAUGGAUACGGACAGAAGUUGGCCGAUUUCGUUUCAUUUUAAUGAUUUAUUUGUCUUUUAGAUCGAUCCAACAAUGCCGUUCUCUUUUCAAGACACAAGGUCCAACUUGACUUCAUCAUAGUUAAACAAUAUAUCAGCAGAUUUUAAGCAUAUUUUUAUUCAUUUUGUUUAGGUCAAAUAAAGAAUGUUAUCAACGAAAAA
Molecule: long non-coding RNA, 1714 nt
Organism: Culex quinquefasciatus (southern house mosquito)
Lineage: Eukaryota; Metazoa; Arthropoda; Insecta; Diptera; Culicidae
Exons: 2
Source: RefSeq, a predicted model, not a curated record